RNAcentral lists this long non-coding RNA (369 nucleotides) under Lathyrus oleraceus (garden pea). RNAcentral's name for it is "Pisum sativum (pea) long non-coding RNA (PSAT_LNC007066)". The record is from RNAcentral. Lineage: Eukaryota; Viridiplantae; Streptophyta; Magnoliopsida; Fabales; Fabaceae.
GAAAAAUCCAAAUUGCUUUCAUUUCAACAAUAAACCGUUACACAGUCUUGUUCUACCUGUCCACAAAAUCACAAUAUACAAGUGUUUCAUAAUGCAUUGCCAAUUGACCAUCCCAUACAUAAACCACAACACUUGGGCUCCAACGGUACAUUAAUUAUUAAACAUUUAAUUUACAAUUUCAAGCAAAUUUACAGUUACAACAAAUUCAUAUACUCAAUUACAAUCCACACUCCACAAAUCAGUCCAAUGCACUUUCCAAAUACUCCUUUAGCUCAUAACCUAGAAACUCAAUCGUAACAUGUCCAGGAAAUUCACACAAUACAUAGUAGAACGCGAUAGAUCCAUCUGCAGAAGUUUCGAAACAUAGUC